Molecule: long non-coding RNA, 2967 nt
Filed under: Mytilus galloprovincialis (Mediterranean mussel)
Lineage: Eukaryota; Metazoa; Mollusca; Bivalvia; Mytilida; Mytilidae
Source: RNAcentral
UUUUAUAUCAUUAGAGUCUCUUAUUCUGCAAGCAAGUAAUUCAACUGAUAAAACAAACAAUAAAGCGCUUAAAGGACAUCCUUGUCGAAUUCCGCGCUCAAUGUUAAAGGUUUCUGAAAUCCACCCAUUAUUUAAAAUACAUCCUUUUAUGUCAUAAUAUAGGGUUUUAACCCACUUCUGAAAUGAUUCAUUAAACCCAAAUUUCUUUAAUGAUUCCAACAUAAAAUCCCAUUCCAGUGAAUCAAAUGCUUUAGAAAAGUCAAUAAAUAAUAUAGCUCCUUCAAUAUUAAAAUUUUCAGAAUAAUCUAUAAUGUCUUGAAUUUGACGCACAUUGAAUCCUAUAUAGCGAUUUUUUAUGUAUCCAUUUUGGUCUCUAUGGAUUAUUAAUGGUAAGAUUUUCUUAAGUCUUUGUGCUAAAGUAUAUGUUAUUAAUUUCACAUCUAUAUUUAAUAAAGUUAUUGGACGGUAGUUAUCCAGGGACAAAGGGUCAUUUUUCUUAUAAAUUAAUGAUAUAAUCCCAAUCUUUUGGGUAUUAGAUAAAGAUUCUUUAUCAUAACAAGUAUUAGAGACUUUCAAAACUAUGUUCUUCAGUUUUGGCCAAAAUUGUCUGUAAAACUCUACAGUUAAACCGUCUUUCCCAGGUGUUUUAUUUAGUUUCAUUUUAAAAAUGGAGGAUGUUAACUCUUCUAGUGUUAAUUUACCAUCUACCUGUUUACUUUCAGAAGAUGUCAAAGAAUGAUUUAUGUUUGUACCUUCAAUAUAUGAUUUUAAGAUUUCAGUAUCAGGGUUGGAGCUUUUGUAUAGGACUUUGUAAUACUCUUUACUCAUAUUAAGAAUUUCACUUUGAUCUACAGUUACCUCCCCAUUUUGGGACAAUAACUUAUUAAUAGAUUUUUUUGAUUGCCUGUGUUUUUCUAAAGAUAAAAAGAAUUUUGUAUUUUUUUCACCUUCCUCAACCCAUUUGAUUCUUGACCUAAUUUGAGCCCCUUUUGCUUUUAAUGAAUAUAUAUGGUCUAGUUCAUUUUCUAAUUGUUUAAUUUCAUUAAAAAGAUUUUUAUUUGUGUCUGUAGGUAAUGUAUCUAACCUAUCGUUUAAAGUUUUAAUUUCGCUUUCCAAAACAUUGAUUUUAUUUUUUCUUUCUUUGGCUUUCGAUUUACAGUAUUUAAUUGUAGUGUCUCUGGUAUCAAUUUUGAACAAGUCCCACUGAGUAAGAAGAUUUUCAUUAUUAAAUUUAUUCUCAUACUUAUCAAUCAAUUUAUUUAUUAUUUCUUGAUAUUGAAAGUCAGCUAAUAUACUAUUAUUCAUUUUAAAGUAACCCUUUCCUCGAUUACUUGAAUAAAUAUCUAAUUUUAAAGAAAUAGCUUGGUGGUCUGUACUUGAAAUUUGAGCUGGUCUGAUGUCAGCUGAUACUGUCAGCAUGCGUACUUGUGAACUUAUUAUAAAAAAGUCAAUUCUACUUGCCUCAUUUGUAGAAUUUUUCCUUUUCCAAGUAUAUUGUUUUUUGGUUUUAUUUAAUAGCCUCCAAAUGUCUAUCAGUUUAUUUGUUUUAAUUACCUGUUUAAGAUUAUUUACUGGUUUUUUAAACUUUUUAUGAAGAUUUUGAUUUUUUGUAUCUAAACUAGAUAGACGGUCAUUCAUAUCUCCUCCUACAAUUAAUGCACCAAGACUGUGCUCUUCAAUUAAACCUUGUACUUUUUUAAAGAAUGUGUUCCUUGCGUGGACUUCAUUUGGUGCAUACAAGUUUAAUAAAGUAAAUAUCUUAUCUUGAAUUUCCAAAUUAAUUAAAAUUAUUCUUCCUUCAUUGUCACAAAAUUCAUUUAUUAAUUUAAAAUCGAGUGUUUUGCGUAUAAAGAAAGAAACACCUCUCGAAUUUGUUUUGCCUAGACUGUGAUGGUGUUUUCCAUGAAAUUCAUUAUUAAUUUUCGUUAUAAUAUCUUUUGAGAAAUGGGUUUCUUGUGCCAUUAAAAUGUCACACUUUUGUUGUUGAAACCAUGUGUAUAGUCUAAAGCGUUUAUCUUUCUUUGCUAACCCUUGACAAUUUAAUGAACAAAUAUGAAGAUUUUUAAUGUUCAUAGUAGUUAGUUGUAUUUGUUGUUAUAGAAAACAGUUCUAAAAAUCCAUUUAAAUGCCAACAGAAGUUUUGCUUAUCGAGCUUGAUCAUGACCCAGAUAAACACCAGGUUAUUUAUAGAUCUAUAUAUAGCAUUGUGAAAGUUUAAAUCUAUUUUUAGUUUCAUUACUGACUUUCCGAAAAUCUCUCUUAAUAGGUAAUUGAAAUGUACCGGAUUUAGAUAGUUUUGAAGUGUAAUUAUUUUGAUGUUAAAAUUGACACUUACGGUAUUUAUAUAAAAUAUGCUACCUUCUACCUUGUAACAAAUUUUCUUUUCUUUUUCAGAUUCAACAUCAAUGAUUGAUGUGUUGACCUUGUAUGAGUUACCACUACCUGAAUUAUUUUUACAGUCAACAUGUGCAUGAUAUGGAAUGUAAACAAAUGAAUAAUUCUAGGAGUAUUUAUAUUUGAAACAUCAUAUACAGGAUUUACAUUGCAAUAUAGUGUGGAUACAUCAUUAUUUUGUGAAAUUGAUAUUCUAACUGAAAUCGAUUUUAACCAUUUAUGGAAAUUUAUAAAUAGACAUACUAGAAGAAUGGACCUUGACAGUAUAUUAAUCCCAAACUUAGAACUAUAAAAUUGAAUUAGUUUACUGCCUAACUGAGAUCCAUAUAAGUGAAUUAUAUUGGACAUAUCAACAAAAUCUUUUAAAGUGAUGCUGAUGCUUUUACAGUUCAUGAAUGCCGUACCAGUUUCAAGCGACUUAUAAACAGUGUUUGUUUCUGAUAGAGUUUUUGUCUCUUUAUUCAAAAGAUUGCUUUUACAUUCUAAACAGUCUUCAUAUAGACUUUUAUCUGUAUUUGAAAUAUUUACCAUAUUUUUAAAUAACUCUUUACAUGUACUUGUAUUUAAAUUUUU